Molecule: long non-coding RNA, 4417 nt
Organism: Poecilia latipinna (sailfin molly)
Lineage: Eukaryota; Metazoa; Chordata; Actinopteri; Cyprinodontiformes; Poeciliidae
Exons: 2
Source: RefSeq, a predicted model, not a curated record
AGCCAUGAUGUUUGGUUGCCAUGACAACACCUGCUGAGUCCACAGUUUCGACAAAACCUCCGGGUCAUCAGAACUUGACAGGCUGAUGAGUUUCAGGUGCGGUGAAGCCCCGCCCCCUGUGCUGGCCACGCCCCUUCGGUUUUCCAGCUUUGUUUGGAAAAGGACGGUCCCAGUCAGAGUUGUGAAGGCUCGGUUCUGAUCCAGUUCCCUCAGCGGGCUGAGGUCAGAACUUUAACUGGGUCUCUGCCCCUCCUCCAGGCUUUCCACCUCCUCUUCCUCCCCCGGCCCCCCUCCCUCUGCUCCUCCUCCUCAGGCAGCAGCAGAACCUUGGGAGCAGAGUAGCAGGACGGUUCGGACGGUACCAGGAGUUGGACUUUUUUUAGUCGAGAUGAAGUCGUGGUUGCUGGUUUCGGUUCUGGCCAUGGUUCUGGCCAUGUGCGAGUCCCGGUCUCCGUACCAGACGGUUCUGCAGCACAGCCGGAUCCGAGGCCGGCAGCAGGGGCCCAACGUCUGCGCCAUGCAGCAGAUCAAAGGAACCAACAAGAAGUACUUCACCAACUGCAAGCAGUGGUACCACCGCAAGAUCUGCGGCAAACCGACGUGAGUCACUGAGUGAAACUAGACUGAGUCGUUUCAGUUCAACCGGAACCAUCCGGGCCAGGCGGCUUGGUCAGCUCAGGACGCUGAACGCAGCCUAACCGCAUCAGGACGGAAACAAACAGGAAGUGAGGUUUUUGUUUGCAGGAAGUGGACAGCUGAAGCAGCCUUUAGCGGAGUCUGACUGCAAGUUUGUGACCCGGUUCUGUGUGGAUGGGGAGUCGGAGCAGGAGUGGUGGGGUUGGGGUGUGAAGGGUUCACUGACUCGGGCUCCUUUCAUCACUUCAUUGUUUAGGUUUGUGGUCUGUCUUCUUCUGCUGCAUGUCGGAUAAAAUGCGAUGUUCGACCUGCAGGCGCUGCGGAGCCUGUCGCAUACGGACCUGGUUUACUUCCAGAUACGGGUGGAAACUUCAGAAUCGCGUCGUCCAGUCUGCCAUGUAAAGUCGGAAGUAAGUCGCAUUUGGGGGAAUAAAAUGCAUUGUUCAAAUCUGAUUUUUUUUGCCCAAAUGAGACUUUUAUCCGACUGUUUUCAUGUCAGGCUGAACGGCGUUAAAAGUCGUACUUUGGUGAAAUGUGGGAUUGGUUUCCUGUGUGAGAUUAGCUGCUGGUGCCAGUAGCUGGCCUGCAGUACCAGGACAUGCCACCAGGUGUCACCUGUCCAGGUGUUUCUGUUACCUGACUCCAACCGUCUGGAUGAGCUGGACUCUUUUUAGUCGAGAUGAAGUCAUGGUUGCUGGUUUCCUGGAUUCAUGAAAACUGUCCGGACUCCGAGGGAACGAGCCGCCAUCAUUUUCCAGAUUGUUCUGGAGGCUUUCUAGAAGGUAGAGGGAUAAUGGUGUCUCAGGGGGAAUUCUGGGUAAUUGGUUGAAUCAGACUGGUUCUGGAUUUGGCUGGACCAGACUGGGUCAGACUGGACCAGGCUGUUGUCCUGUGCAGGUUGAGGUGAAGCCAUCAGUAUUUCUCCCAGACGACGUCUGGCGGCUUGGCGAUGGAAGCCGUCAUAAAGAGCGCAAUGUUUCCAAACAGGAAAUGGGAUUUAUUCCUCCGGGAGUGUCGUAGAGCUGCAGGUUUAUGUUGGAGCCAGUUCAGAGCUCCCAGCCAGAUUCCUCUGCUGGAUGUUCCUGGAAACGGAGCGGCUGAGUUACUGCGCCUCGCUCUGUUUGGAUCCACAGCAGACACCUUGUUUAGAACAAACGGGAGCCGGUUUUCCGUCUGGACGGAUAAUCAGGACCAGCCGUUGCCACGGCGCUGAUCUCCAUCUGUGGACGCUUAGUGCCUCCAGACGCCGAUGGCGCUGAGCUUAACGAGCUGCAGCCGCAGAGAGCCGGCCCGGUUCAGGAAGCUCACCUGAACCCCGGGUUCUCUUUCCCAGAUUUCCCCUCUGGUCAAAGGAGAUGAAGAAAAACAUCUGAGUGACUUUGGGUCAAACCCGCCGAGGUCCAGAACCAGCAGGUCCGGUCCAGAUUAAUGAGAAACAAACAGAAACCAGAUCAGAAAUCAGGCAGUGGUACUGGGUCAGAACUUUGGGUCUCAUCCCGACUAGAUGAGCCUCCAGAGGUCAAGAGGUCAAACAUCCCAACUCAGAGUCAGUAGGGCCGCAUGUUCCUGAUAUUAGCAUUAGCAUGCUAACCCUCAGCCUGGAUGUUUUUCACAUUUACCAUCUGCCAUUUGAAGAUGGCUGCCAUUUUUUAAGAUGACAGCCAUUUUGAGCCUUUUAGACCAGUUAUCAAGAAAUGUUUCCCAUCUUCAUGACUUGGACGAACUUUUUGUCUCGUCACGUUCAUGAAACGUUAAAGUGAUAAAACGCAGCAGAAUCAGAAACUGAGGAUUUUACUGUUGGCGAGAUGAGAGACAGACGACUUCAUGGUUAGCAUUAGCUUCUGCUAACAUUUAUGUAUUUAGUGGUUUAGCAAAUUAGUGGUUAGUGAAGCUAACUAUUUGGGUUCUUCCCGGCGCUCCGGGUUCUCCGGCCGUCUUGGAUGCCUGUAGGUUGUUCUCUCAGAGAAAAUGAACUUUAUGAGUCCAGUCGGCCGGUUCUGCUUCAUGGUGGAAGUUCUGAUACGAUUCAUUCAGUUGGGUAGAACUGAGACCGAGUUCUACCCAACCCGGAUCAGAACCAGCAGCUGCUGAAGUAAUCAAUGGAUGAGUUUCUCAGAUGCUGAGACAUUAGAAAUAUUUUGGAGCUGGUAGAAGGCCCACUUUUGAACUGCGUUUAUGAGCCUCUGAAGGGCCAGGUCAGAGGUCAGCCUGAUCUCUGGUUUCAGCUGGGACAACUGAAGCUGUUCUGACUCUAGAUCUAUAACUCUAGAUUGUUAAUCUAAUAACAUCAGUUUAGGGCUGAAACGAUUCUUUGAGUGAUUAGAGUACCUCGAUUAUUAAAAUCCCUUGAGGAAAAUGUAUCUGCCUCAAAGCCUCGUUAAAUUAUGUUUUAAUUUUGGCGCACCGUGUUCCGCCCGGGUCGUUAUUUGUGUUGCGUAGCGACGUCACUUCCGCCUAUGAGUUGUUUCUUGCUAGCAGCAUGACGUUGAAUUUUCCAGUGUUUUAUCAGGUUUUGGGGGACAAAUAAGCAGUUAAAUUGUGUGGCGCGAUGCUUGGAGCACGUCAGUUUUUCUGCUUUCCGCGUCGUCAAACUGGGAUGGGGGAAAGAUUGGAUUACUCAAUUAAUUCUAAAAAAAAAAAAAUCCUAUCCUCCUUAUUCCUAGCCCCCAUGAGGCUUGGCGUGAUUUAUGGGCGUGACUUCCGCUGCUAACCGGAACCGCCAUUUGUUUACAUGUUAGCAACUCGCUAACCGACUUUCCACAGAGGAUUUAUGCUAUAAAAUAUGUGGGAACUCCAGCUAUCACAGCUUAAAUGCUGCAAUAAUGUUUUACAACUACCUGCAGCUAAUGCAGGGAGGGAUGGCGACUCGAAGAAAUGGGCGCAAAUAACACGCACUAGCAUAGUUAGCUACUUCACUGACUCAGUUGCAGAUCCGGGUUUUCUUCCCUUGGCUUUCUAGCCACACAAUGAAAAGAGCACACAUAAAGCAUUUUGGGUUCUCUCUUUCAGUUUAGAAUUUUUAGCCAAAUUCUUUUUGUUUCCUUAUCUGUCGGUAGGCAAUGAAAACUGCCGCCUUUGUUUUGGAACCACGUUCAAGACACACCUGCUGCUGCAGCCACAAAUUAAACUUAGUCUGAUUAUUAAAGUACAGCCACGAACAGCACAACAGUUACCGAGCUCCGAAAGGCACCUUACGACACUUUCCAGUGUAAGUUGCUCUCUGUAACAGGUUAAUGUGUGAUUCGGUUCGGUUCUGGUCCAGUGGGGAGAUUCUCCAUAUUACGGUCUGAGGCGCAGCAGCUGCGGUCAUCUCUCCGCUGAUUUGCAACACGGAGAACCUCGAGGUUCUGGUUCAGAAUGAACCCAGAUAUUUUAUUUUGCCUUAUAGAAAUGUAUUGCUGGCCCAAUUUACACACUUGUGAAAAAUUGAAAUGAAAAAUAAAAUUCACCUCACACCAAGCUAAUAUUAUGUAGUUCUGCUGUUUUAUUCUGUCAGUGCUAAACUGCAGCUCAGAUCUCUGACCAGCUUCUCUGCUUUUCUCUUCUUUAUUCCUGUCAGCUCUUCAGAGAAACGAGCUGCUAGCAGCGAUGCUAAUUCACGGUCAUUUCGUUACAAAACUUAACGAUCGUGUUCCUGUCGCUCCCCACAUUAAACUCACAGUUACGAUCCUCUGCACUGAGCAGCUCUCUGACAGCAGACGGCAUGUCCGUGAACAAGUUUAACUAAAUAUUGUAUUAUAACCGAAAAGAGAGAUGCAACUUCUAUCAUGAAUUAGCAAAA